This 593-nucleotide ribosomal RNA is filed under the name Truncatellina callicratis. RNAcentral's name for it is "partial 16S ribosomal RNA". The stretch from base 1 to 161 matches the Rfam family "Archaeal large subunit ribosomal RNA", at positions 1908 to 2097 of the family's 2987-position model. The record is from RNAcentral. Lineage: Eukaryota; Metazoa; Mollusca; Gastropoda; Stylommatophora; Truncatellinidae.
UAGUUUAUUGUUUUUAAUAAUAAAUAAUUUCUGCCCAGUGAAUUAAAAUAAUUUAUAUUAUUUAUUUUAACGGCCGCAGUACUUUGACUGUGCAAAGGUAGCAUAAUCAAUUGGCCUUUAAUUAAGGUCUCGUAUGAAUGGAAAAACAGGAAAAUACUGUCUUUAAAAAGAUUUUAUAAAUUUACUUUAGAAAGUGAAAAUUCUUUUAUUUAUAAAAAUAAGACGAGAAGACCCUUAGAAUUUUAAUAAAUGUUAAUGAAAUUUUAAAUUUAUUUUAAAUAUAUUAUCUUAUUUUUGUUGGGGCAACAUAUUUAAUUGCAAAAUCUUAUUUAAUUAAUAAUUAAAUUAAUUUUAAUUAUUGUUUUAAAUAUUAAAUAAAUCAAAAGUAUAUUAAUAAAUAAUAGUUUAAAUAAUUAUUGUUUAAAUAAAUUUAUUUAUAUGAAAUUUUUAAUAUAAUUUAAAAAUAGAAAAAUUAAAUUACCUUAGGGAUAACAGCAUAAUUUAUUACUAUAAGAUUGUGACCUCGAUGUUGGAUUAGGGUAGAUUAAGUUUAGUCAAUUUAAUUGUAAGUUCUGUUCGAACUUUAAUUACCU